GGAAGGGCUGUGUGGCUCAGAGGGGCAGGGUGCAUGCUUUGCAUGCAGAAGUUCCCAGGUUCAAUCCCAGGUAUCUCCA
This is a non-coding RNA of Podarcis lilfordi (Lilford's wall lizard), 79 nucleotides long. The record is from the annotation of a GenBank genome assembly. NCBI's taxonomy places the organism in Eukaryota, Metazoa, Chordata, Lepidosauria, Squamata, Lacertidae.